RNA transcript from Tigriopus californicus, 3610 nucleotides. RefSeq lists it as uncharacterized. The record is from RefSeq and is a predicted model, not a curated record. NCBI's taxonomy places the organism in Eukaryota, Metazoa, Arthropoda, Copepoda, Harpacticoida, Harpacticidae. The transcript is spliced from 5 exons.
UUUUCAAAAGCUUAGGUAACCAAGAGCAGGCCGAAAAUUCAAAUUUUAUGUAGUGUUUACUACAUAACUUUGAACAUGUCUCCUGAGCUACCUAAGCAUGGGUUUGGGCUCAAACUUGGCUGAGUUCAUCUAUUUAACAAGAUCUUGUAGUGUAUAUUUGGAAUAAGAUGAGCGGUUUAGGAGAUAGGAUAUUUUUGCUUCCGUUUGCAGUCCAUAUCUCUAGAAGUCCGUGCAUUAUGAUAUGGUAUUAAUAUGCUAUUCGCAACUAACUUCAUUCGACUUGACAAGGAUAUGAUUUCAUACCCUAAUUCAACCUCCGUCACCGGAAACGCCACUAUCCGCCCGAGGGGUACUUUUCUUGCAUCAAUAUGCAACCAAACAAGUACCAUGAACAGAUCAAAGAUGGAAUAGUACAGGCCCUGAAACUGCCUUUUACUUGCUUAACUUGAAAAUGGUAUUUCAAAUCUAGACAAUCUUUCAAUGGCUGGAACAACCAUCACGAUAAUAUUUCAAUGGGGAUGUAAAAAGUUUUGCACGAAAAAAUACUACUAAGAUUAUUUAAGUCAUUAAGAACAUUCUGGGAGCCAAAAUAUGGCAAAUCUAUUGCAAAGAAAAGGAUUGCUGAAGUUCCGUGGUCUACGUAUCGUUACAUAAUGUAACCAUUGUCUUUUGCACAUUGCUCGCAAUCAAGGCGAAUCAUUUGGGAGCAAUAAUGGUGGUGGGUACACACCAUGGUGCCAUUACCAUUAUAUUUUAAAUAUGCGUGCAUAGGUAUCAUAAAUACAAUUCAUAUUGUACAAGUAACAAGUAACUCAAUCGAAGAUGAAUGGAAAUGAAAUUGCAGCAAGCCAUUUGUGAUUGGCCAAUGUCACUUGACUUUCAAUAGAUUAAAAUCAUCUAUUACUUAGAUAUAUGAGAAUAAACAAAAUUAGCAUUCAUACGAAUCAAUUUAAAAUAAAGUCUGAGAGGUAGAUAUUGAAUAAGGCCGCAUAACUGAUUCUUAUAAGUAGGGACGGGCAAAUUGUGUAAAAAGAAUGUCACUAAAGACCAAUUUUUUACACAUGAGCACUUUUCACCUUUAUUUACACCUUAUAACUUUUAUUUUACACUUUUUGCAUAUUUGGCCUAAAACUGUUUUUUCGGUUGAAAUCAGUACUUUCUUUACGUUGGAAUUGGUUUCGCAGAUUGAAAUCAAAGGCUGCCGCUAAAAUAGAGCUAUGAAAAGUCGAAUUUUGAACAAUUGACGUCAAUUAUUAAGAUCUGCAGGCCAAAAGUACUUCACUUUCGGUUGAAAAGCAGGUGAAAAGAGAAAUGAAAACAGCCAGUUUCCAAAGGCUUGGUUAAUUUGCACAUUUUGCCCGUCCCUAAUGAUCGUGCCUAAUCAGUAUUUCAGACAUCCAUAUUUUGAUCCUUUCAAAUCUAGUAUACUUCACAUUAUGUCUGAUAUAAUAGUGCUCUUGUGAUCCUAGUCAAAUAAACAUACAUUGCCAAGUCCUCACAAUAAUGUGUCCAGAGACUUCAAAAAAUGCACAGGCUUGAUGACCCAACACUACUCUCACCCCAACAGAUAGCAAAGAUCAAGAGAAGGCCGUGUGAAGGACCUGCCGUGAAGUCCAGCGCCAUGAAGCCGAGGGCAAUAAUGAAAGAGCAAAUGCUGACAGAGAAGCACCAAGAAAAGAAGGUUGAGCAAUGCUGGAGAGAAAUGAACUUGCAAAGGAGCAGCAAUGUGGCGUUUAAGAGAUGAUUUGACCACAGACUUGACAUUCAUGCAAACAGACAAAAUGAGAGGCACAUUGCUGUGUACAAGUAGCUUUAGAUUUGUUGAAAUAUCAACUCAUCCAAGAUGGGCCAAGACAAUUGGCAUUAAGCAAUCUGAUGGACGUGCUCUGAAAUUGAUUUAGAUUGAUGGUAUGUGUCAUGCGCAUCAGCACUUGAAAAUCUUGAACAAUGUAGUAUUCCCCAGGCUCAACAGGAUGUUUGGCAUUGUAAACUGAAUUUGGACCCAAGAUGAUGCACCCAGCUAUAGUUUGCACCUUGUUCAGGAACGUAUAGCCAAGCACCUAGGACCAAAUAAUAUUUGGUCUAAGACCAAAAGGCCCCUGUCCUUUUCAAACCUGAGGCCUGAUUUUUAAAGCUCGUACCUCAGAGUUAGGGGGGGCUCGGACGUUAACCGGUAUGAAAACACACAAGCAAAAGUGCUCAGCGGAUGCUCAUUCAGGGUAACGUCCAAGCCUUAACUCAGAGGUGCAAGUUUUCAAAAAACAAUGAUGUUUGAUUUCCUUUGCUUUGAGGAGACUAAAAGUAUUCCCAGUACGCCAUAAAUUAAAAUCAAGCUGGCGAAAACCACUUUUUAUGAACAAAAAUGCUGCCUCUGAUUUACUUUUUGCCCAAAAUGGAUCUUUACUUCUCUACUGGACAACUUAUUUUGCACCUCUACGGUACAAAUUUCAUAUUUGUCUUUCUUCUUGGACCCUGGCAGAAACGAAAAACUAAUCCUUAGGGAUUUCAUCGAUAAGUUGUUCACUCAUGUAACUCGCAGUUCUCAUCGCUGAAGAUUUCAACUACCGAACAAAGAUAACGGUUGCAUUAUGAAAAGCCUGGAAACAGGGUGCAUCAUUUCACAAAAAGUAAGGAUUGUUGCAUCACAAUGAGAACCAUGAACAUAGAUGCAGAUGCAAUAUUUUGCCGGAACGUAACGAAAUCGACUGUCACUGACUGGCAAAUGUGCUAUGUUGGGAAAAUGACUCACUGAGACAAUUUGGACCCGUUCUUCAAUGGAAGUGGGUUGUUCACGGUCAAAGUCUAACAACUUUCAGUGGAUACGAAACGUCGUAAGCCUACAACUUACGUGGAAUCAACUUCAAGCGAGAUUGUGAGGAAAUGUUUCAGUUUAGUUGAUGAUUGGUCGGUGAUUCUCGAGGGAGGAAACUAUUCCUGUUCAAGAGGACCAUUUCAAUCCGCAAACUGAAUCAACCACUGAGGAGCAAAUCGUUGUGGAGAACAAACCGGAUACUCAUCGCAAUCUUGAAGCCACAAUCACCGAGAAAAUGGCGAAGGUGUCCCAAGCUGUUCCCAAGAGUGAUGUAGAGAUAAAGCGCACUGGAAUCGAAACUCUUGAUACCAUUCUCCAAUUGAAUCUCGUGAUUCAGAUCCUCUCCAUCUUGAAGGGAAUCCACGAACAAAUUGUCAAUCGGAAAGAAGACACUCUCCCGAGAAUUUACAUUCUUGUCCUCCAGAAUGGACAAGUUGUUGCUUUUCAUUUGCAAAGGAUCGCCAUCAUCUCAUGGAAUGUCUCUCACGAGAUUAUGCCACAGUUCAUGUUCAAGCGAGUCACGGCGUUCGAGCAUCAAACCGUGGAAAGCGCGAAAGCCUUGGAUUCCAGGUUGGCUAAAUUGAUCCAGGAUCUCGUAAAGUGGUAUGAGUCCAAUGUCUCCGAGGCCAUUGCAACCCGCUCCCAGAAGUUCAUGGAUUUUGUUGAGAAUGUGAAACCUGCUCAGUUGUACAAGCGGUUACCAUGGGUCAAACAACAAGACUAGACUAACCGGUUUCAAGCCAGCCAAUGUUUUCCUCCAGAUCGGCGUGAUUUGAAAUAAACUAGUUUGACUAGCUA